This 898-nucleotide ribosomal RNA is filed under the name Sarocladium subulatum. Its description in RNAcentral is "LSU rRNA". It matches the Rfam family "Eukaryotic large subunit ribosomal RNA", at positions 38 to 965 of the family's 3401-position model. The record is from RNAcentral. Lineage: Eukaryota; Fungi; Ascomycota; Sordariomycetes; Hypocreales; Sarocladiaceae.
GCAUAUCAAUAAGCGGAAGAAAAGAAACCCACAGGGAUUGCCUCAGUAACGGCGAGUGAAGCGGCAACAGCUCAAAUUUGAAAUCUGGCCGCAAGGUCCGAGUUGUAAUUUGUAGAGGAUGCUUUUGGCGAGGUGACUUCCGAGUUCCCUGGAACGGGACGCCAUAGAGGGUGAGAGCCCCGUACGGUCGUGCCACCGAGCCUCUGUAAAGCUCCUUCGACGAGUCGAGUAGUUUGGGAAUGCUGCUCUAAAUGGGAGGUGUACGUCUUCUAAAGCUAAAUACCGGCCAGAGACCGAUAGCGCACAAGUAGAGUGAUCGAAAGAUGAAAAGCACUUUGAAAAGAGGGUUAAAAAGUACGUGAAAUUGUUGAAAGGGAAGCAUUCAUGACCAGACUUGGGCUUGGUUGAACAUCCGGCGUUCUCGCCGGUGCACUCUGCCAGCUCAGGCCAGCAUCAGUUUGCCCCGGGGGACAAAGGCGGCGGGAAUGUGGCUCCCUACGGGGAGUGUUAUAGCCCGUCGUGUAAUGCCCUGGGGUGGACUGAGGUUCGCGCUUCGGCACGGAUGCUGGCGUAAUGGUCAUCAAUGACCCGUCUUGAAACACGGACCAAGGAGUCGUCUUCGUAUGCGAGUGUUCGGGUGUCAAACCCCUACGCGUAAUGAAAGUGAACGUAGGUGAGAGCUUCGGCGCAUCACCGACCGAUCCUGAUGUUCUCGGAUGGAUUUGAGUAAGAGCAUACGGGGCCGGACCCGAAAGAAGGUGAACUAUGCCUGUAUAGGGUGAAGCCAGAGGAAACUCUGGUGGAGGCUCGCAGCGGUUCUGACGUGCAAAUCGAUCGUCAAAUAUGGGCAUGGGGGCGAAAGACUAAUCGAACCUUCUAGUAGCUGGUUUCCGCCGAA